AUUGAACGCUGGCGGCAUGCCUAACACAUGCAAGUCGAACGAGGUGUAGCAAUACACCUAGUGGCGGACGGGUGAGGAAUACGUAGGAAUCUGCCUCAGAGUGGGGAUGAGCCCGGGGAAACCCGGAUUGAUACCGCAUGAUGUAGCAAUACCAAAGCAGGGGACCGCAAGGCCUUGCGCUCUGAGAGGAGCCUACGUCUGAUUAGCUAGUUGGCGGGGUAAUGGCCCACCAAGGCAACGAUCAGUAACUGGUCUGAGAGGACGAUCAGUCACACCGGAACUGAGACACGGUCCGGACUCCUACGGGAGGCAGCAGUGGGGAAUAUCGGACAAUGGGCGAAAGCCUGAUCCAGCAAUGCCGCGUGUGUGAAGAAGGCCCUUCGGGUUGUAAAGCACUUUAGUCAGGGAAGAAAAAUGCUCAAGCUAAUAUCUUGGGUGUUGACGGUACCUGAAGAAUAAGCACCGGCUAACUCUGUGCCAGCAGCCGCGGUAAUACAGAGGGUGCAAGCGUUAAUCGGAUUUACUGGGCGUAAAGCGUGUGUAGGUGGCUGUUCAAGUCGGUUGUGAAAUCCCCGGGCCGUCAACUGGGGAAUUGCUUCCGAGACUGAGCGGCUAGAGUACGGUAGAGGGCGGUGGAAUUUCCCGGUGNAGCGGUGAAAUGCGUAGAUAUCGGAAGGAACACCAAUGGCGAAGGCAGCCCGCUUUGGGGGCCCUGUUAACUGACACU
RNAcentral lists this ribosomal RNA (727 nucleotides) under uncultured bacterium. Its description in RNAcentral is "bacterial SSU rRNA". It matches the Rfam family "Bacterial small subunit ribosomal RNA", at positions 28 to 753 of the family's 1533-position model. The record is from RNAcentral.